This is a long non-coding RNA of Pristis pectinata (smalltooth sawfish), 1099 nucleotides long. RefSeq lists it as uncharacterized. The transcript is spliced from 5 exons. Lineage: Eukaryota; Metazoa; Chordata; Chondrichthyes; Rhinopristiformes; Pristidae. The record is from RefSeq and is a predicted model, not a curated record.
GCCACUAUGUUUGUUGUUGCUGUGUAGCUGCAAUGAGGGCUGGUGCUGAUGCCCUUCUGUGUAUUUGGAACACAAUAAAGUGUCGGUAGCUGCACUCCAUUGGGGCCGGUCUCUUCAGAACCAUAUCAGUGUCAAAAUCUGCACAACCACUGAGAGGCCAAAAUGGUGGUGAAGUCCUGGAGUUGGACAGCAGUGAUUGUCACAUCAUAAUUUGAAAGAAAGAGAAAUAACUAGAUUUCUACUCAGUAGUACCAAAACAUCGUUACUGGACUGAAUCAAGCUGAUUGACAGCUGACUUUUCUAUUGGAACAUCAACUAUACGCAAUUCCUGAUUGAUUUCAUCACUUUGGAAUGGAAAUGCCAAUCCUGCGAAUAAAAACAAUUGCAAAUCAGGAUUACCAGAUUUGUGUGCAGCAGUCCUCUCCUUCAGCAGAGAGUGGAUCUCCCGGUUCAUCCAUGGCACCCUGUUUGGGAACACCUGUAUUGUCCACUUUGGUACACAGUCCUCCACACACUUGCUGAUAAAGUCUGUGAUGGUGGUGGCAUACUCAUCAAGGCUGGCAGCUGAGUCUUUGAACAUGGUCCAGUCCACUGUCUCAAAGCAGUCACAUAGAAGUUCAUCUGCGUCCUCAGACCAGCAUUACACGAUUCUCUGUACCGGAUCCUCCCGUUUCAGUUUCUGUUUGUAUGCAGUGAGAAGGAGCACAGCCUGGUGGUCUGAUUUCCCAAAGUGAGGACAAGGGGAACAGUAACAAUACUGUUAUUGUUUUUAACUGUACUACUUCAAUGCGCCCUGUAUUAACUCAAUGUAACUGCACUGUGUAAUGAAUUGACCUGUACAAUUGGUAUGCAAGAGAAGUUUCUCACUGUAUCUCGGUACAAGUGACAAUAACAAACCAAUACCAGUACAAGAAGAUCUCACAGAAGUUUUAUGUAGUUCAUGGAAUUACCUCGGUCCCUCAGUUAUACUGAUGCUUUGUCUAUGCUCCAUUGCCUGAUAAGCUAAGAGACUGGCACACUUUUAUUUAUUAUGUAUGGAUCUGGAAUUAUUAGACUUAAUAACUUCAGAAAUAAAUUAUUAAGAUGCACUAUAGAACGA